Mesocricetus auratus (golden hamster) is the source of this 544-nucleotide long non-coding RNA. RefSeq lists it as uncharacterized. The record is from RefSeq and is a predicted model, not a curated record. Lineage: Eukaryota; Metazoa; Chordata; Mammalia; Rodentia; Cricetidae. The transcript has 3 exons.
AGUCCUGGCUUAGUCAUCACAGCUGCAACCCAAAUGGAUUCCCAUUCGCCUUCCCAAUUGUUCCUCUUCCGUUUCUGAUGCUCAUGCUCCAACUUUAACACCCAAUAACGACUAUGGAGUGAAUGCAGCCCCAGAACCCAGGACAUACGAGAAGGACUGUAUGGAAAAGGCAAGCGAGUCCCUAAACACCGAAGAUACUACAAAAGACAUUCCGAAGAAAAACACCUCUGCGCUCUGAAAUGCAGCCAACAAACAGCUAAGUUCACACUGUGCAUCUGUACAGGAGACACUGAAUUCCUUAUAGUGGUUCCCCAGUCUCCUAUGGGGGGCAGUUGUUGACUGCAGGCAAGACUUUCAUCCACUUCUAAUUUAUUUCAACGUGGGAAACAAAAUAUCAGACUUACCAAAGUUUCACAUUCAUCUUGAGGUGUAGGCCACACUGGCCCAGGACUGGCCAUGUAGCACAGGCUCCCCUGAACACCUCCUCCUCCUGCCUCACCCUACUGAGUGCUAAACAUGGACUGCCAUACCUGGCUUAAGAUUU